This 27-nucleotide ribosomal RNA is filed under the name Lestes macrostigma. Its description in RNAcentral is "partial 28S ribosomal RNA". The record is from RNAcentral. Lineage: Eukaryota; Metazoa; Arthropoda; Insecta; Odonata; Lestidae.
UUCAUUUUGCCGACCUCAGAGCAGUAG